This 497-nucleotide ribosomal RNA is filed under the name uncultured bacterium. RNAcentral describes it as "partial 16S ribosomal RNA". It matches the Rfam family "Bacterial small subunit ribosomal RNA", at positions 28 to 507 of the family's 1533-position model. The record is from RNAcentral.
GAUGAACGCUGGCGGCGUGCCUAAUACAUGCAAGUCGAGCGAACAGACGAGGAGCUUGCUCCUCUGACGUUAGCGGCGGACGGGUGAGUAACACGUGGAUAACCUACCUAUAAGACUGGGAUAACUUCGGGAAACCGGAGCUAAUACCGGAUAAUAUAUUGAACCGCAUGGUUCAAUAGUGAAAGACGGUUUUGCUGUCACUUAUAGAUGGAUCCGCGCCGCAUUAGCUAGUUGGUAAGGUAACGGCUUACCAAGGCAACGAUGCGUAGCCGACCUGAGAGGGUGAUCGGCCACACUGGAACUGAGACACGGUACAGACGCCUACGGGAGGCAGCAGUAGGGAAUCUUCCGCAAUGGGCGAAAGCCUGACGGAGAAACGCCGCGUGAGUGAUGAAGGUCGUCGGAUCGUAAAACUCUGUUAUUAGGGAAGAACAAAUGUGUAAGUAACUAUGCACGUCUUGAAGGUACCUAAGCAGAAAGCCACGGCUAACUAAGUG